GACGAACCGUCCAAACGUUAUUCGGAGUCACUGGGCUUAAAGGGUGCGUAGGCGGCGCGGAAAGUUGGGUGUGAAAUCCCUCGGCUCAACCGAGGAACUGCGCCCAAAACUACCGUGCUCGAGGGAGAUAGAGGUGAGCGGAACUUAGGGUGGAGCGGUGAAAUGCGUUGAUAUCCUAAGGAACACCGGUGGCGAAAGCGGCUCACUGGAUCUCUUCUGACGCUGAGGCACGAAAGCUAGGGUAGCGAACGGG
This 253-nucleotide ribosomal RNA is filed under the name uncultured bacterium. RNAcentral describes it as "partial 16S ribosomal RNA". It matches the Rfam family "Bacterial small subunit ribosomal RNA", at positions 524 to 776 of the family's 1533-position model. The record is from RNAcentral.